CACAGCACAGCCAGAUUUAGUAAGGCAAUACACGCUAGCAGCUCGAUCAAUGGCAGCGACUACAAAGCGAGAGCGCUCGUCGUGGCUCUCGCGUUCGUCUUCUUCUUUGAGGGGCCAACAGCAAUGGCGGCGGCGUCGGGGACGGGGACGACCGCCGGAGGAGGAUCGUCGGUGCGAAGCUUCCUCAGGCGGGUCAACAAGGCAUUCAGGCAAAGACUCGCGAAGUUAAAUCCCCCACGGAGCUCUCAGCGGUUUGGCUUCGUGAAGAUUCCGCGACCAGAAGCCGAACUUAACUGACUUCGACCGAAGAAGGCGGGAAGUUUACGGAAGCUUGCUCGGUCUCUACGAAGCGUAUGGAUGAGGAAGAGGGUAAUCAAGACGGCCCUGGGACCACUUUAUAGCAGGAUGACUCUGUAAUAAGAAUCUUGUACAAGGUUGGAUAUGUAAUUUUACCAUGAAAGCGACAUCUCGAAUAGGAACCAAGUUACUGUCCUGUAUGGAAUAUUCUUAGGAUGUAGUGGUUGAGUAUGGGUAUAACGGGGAUGCAGAAAUGUAACUUUUUAGCCCUAUAUAGGGAGAUGAACCGUCCCCCCCGGGAGGGCAUUAAUCAUUAAUAGGAUAGCUACUGUAACGUUUGUCUGAACGACCGUUAUCUUCGUUUGUCAUA
Setaria italica (foxtail millet) is the source of this 667-nucleotide long non-coding RNA. RefSeq lists it as uncharacterized. The record is from RefSeq and is a predicted model, not a curated record. The transcript has 2 exons. Lineage: Eukaryota; Viridiplantae; Streptophyta; Magnoliopsida; Poales; Poaceae.